CCUACGGGAGGCAGCAGUGAGGAAUAUUGGUCAAUGGGAGGAAUCCUGAACCAGCCAUGCCGCGUGAGUGAAGACGGUUUUCGGAUUGUAAACCUCUGUCCUCUGUGAAGAUAAUGACGGUAGCAGAGUAGGAAGCUCCGGCUAACUACGUGCCAGCAGCCGCGGUAAUACGUAGGGAGCAAGCGUUGUCCGGAUUUACUGGGUGUAAAGGGUGCGUAGGCGGCUUUGCAAGUCAGAAGUGAAAUCCAUGGGCUUAACCCAUGAACUGCUUUUGAAACUGCAGAGCUUGAGUGGAGGAGAGGUAGGCGGAAUUCCCGGUGUAGCGGUGAAAUGCGUAGAGAUCGGGAGGAACACCAGUGGCGAAGGCGGCCUACUGGGCUCUAACUGACGCUGAGGCACGAAAGCGUGGGUAGCAAACAGGAUUAGAUACCCCAGUAGUC
Molecule: ribosomal RNA, 440 nt
Filed under: uncultured bacterium
Lineage: Bacteria
Description: partial 16S ribosomal RNA
Rfam family: Bacterial small subunit ribosomal RNA
Source: RNAcentral